ACACUGGCACCAUUGUUCACACUUUAUUUCAGUUGUGGAGCUGAUGACAUUUAAAAAUUGGGAACUGGGAGGGUAGAGAAUAUAAUUGGAGGCCCUAGCUCUGGAGAGUGAAAUCAGGGAGAUACUUUGCAAAAUGAAGGACACCUGAAGCUUAGCAGCUGACUUGGCUACAGCUGGAGCAGGAUGGAAAAAUAGAGGUGGAGCUCCAGGUUUCUACAGGGGAGAAAGAGCUCAAGUUAGGAGAGAGAGAAGUCUUUUGGAGAAGCAAAUCCAGGUGUUGAUCCUGCAACUGGAUUUCUCAGCACAGCUCCAAAGGAGGACAGUGCUAUUAUCCCAUGGACACAUUAAGAACCCAAGGCAAAAGGACAGUGACACCCACAGAGGUCACACAGGAAGUCUGUGGGAGAACUGGGAGCUGAACUCCAGUUGUUCAAAUCCAAGGAAAACUGCUGAAUGAAGAACCACAUCAAAGAGCUGGGGAAGCAACUGCUGGAAAAAGAAGAGCCCUGUGUGCAGAAGGGUGUCUGGUUGUCAGAGAUCAUUACCAAGAUCUCCUAAAGAUCUCCCCUCUGAGGUUUAUCAGGCUUUCACAAGUGUCAGGUUUUUAUUUUUCCUGUUGUCAUUUUAUUCAAGAUUUGCAGGUAGAUUGGGAGCAGGAAGAAGUGUUGGAGAGGCACAUUGAGAAGAUGUGAUACAUCAAAGCACUUCAGCUGCAUUUCUAGCUCUGAUUUUUCCUUUUCACUGCCAGUGAGACUUUCAAGGGCCCUGCCCUUAAAUCCUGCUCCUAAAAAAAUAAACAUUGAGGACCUGAAUUCUUCAGAAUCACUUAUACCUGGAAGCUCUGGGGCAACCAACAGCAAGUGGAACUGGCUAACACUGCAGAAAACAUUUCUGACUUUUUAACUUCUAAUGUGCCAGGCUGCUCCUGCCUUGCUCAUGUGUUUCAAGAGGAGGACUGUGGGUUUCUUUUCAUUUUUCCAAGUAGGUGAUUAAUUAAUUUGGCACUGAAGGCAGCAUUUCAGACCAGGCAUGGCUUUAUUGCCCAGUUUUCAAAAACAGUGUCUUGAGUCUAUGGUUCAGGACAUACUUUGCCUGUUAUUGAUGAAGCUGCUGUAACCUUAUCCUGAAGGAUGAACUCCUGUGU
This is a long non-coding RNA of Calypte anna (Anna's hummingbird), 1144 nucleotides long. RefSeq lists it as uncharacterized. Lineage: Eukaryota; Metazoa; Chordata; Aves; Apodiformes; Trochilidae. The transcript is spliced from 4 exons. The record is from RefSeq and is a predicted model, not a curated record.